This 378-nucleotide unclassified non-coding RNA is filed under the name uncultured Actinomycetes bacterium. RNAcentral describes it as "uncultured actinobacterium contains 16S-23S intergenic spacer region". The record is from RNAcentral. Lineage: Bacteria; Bacillati; Actinomycetota; Actinomycetes.
UCCGGUUUGGCACCGGCAGUCUCCGAUGAGUCCCCGGCAUUACCCGCUGGCAACAUCGGACAGGGGUUGCGCUCGUUGCGCCACUUAAGGCAACACCUCACGGCACGAGCUGACGACAGCCAUGCAGCACCUGUGCAGGCUCCCGAAGGAGCGCCGUGUUUCACAGGGUUUAACCAGCAUGUCAAGCCCAGGUAAGGUUCUUCGCGUUGCAUCGAAUUAAGCCACAUGCUCCGCCGCUUGUGCGGGUCCCCGUCAAUUCCUUUGAGUUUUAGCCUUGCGGCCGUACUCCCCAGGCGGGGCGCUUAAUGCGUUAGCUACGGCACAGAAACCCGGGAAGGGUCCCCACACCUAGCGCCCAACGUUUACAGCAUGGACUAC